CUCAGAACCUCUGGAAGAACAGU
This 23-nucleotide non-coding RNA is filed under the name Cricetulus griseus (Chinese hamster). The record is from RNAcentral. Lineage: Eukaryota; Metazoa; Chordata; Mammalia; Rodentia; Cricetidae.